CGAUCGCCGAAGUUAAGCAACGUCGAGCCUGGUUAGUACCGAGAUGGUUGACUACUUGGGAAUACCAGGUGCUGUAA
Molecule: non-coding RNA, 77 nt
Organism: Acanthosepion pharaonis
Lineage: Eukaryota; Metazoa; Mollusca; Cephalopoda; Sepiida; Sepiidae
Source: the annotation of a GenBank genome assembly